Molecule: ribosomal RNA, 464 nt
Filed under: uncultured organism
Description: partial 16S ribosomal RNA
Rfam family: Bacterial small subunit ribosomal RNA
Source: RNAcentral
ACGUACACUCCUACGGGAGGCAGCAGUGGGGAAUAUUGCACAAUGGGCGCAAGCCUGAUGCAGCGACGCCGCGUGGGGGAUGAAGGCCUUCGGGUUGUAAACUCCUUUCGCUAGGGACGAAGCUUUUUUGUGACGGUACCUAGAUAAGAAGCACCGGCUAACUACGUGCCAGCAGCCGCGGUAAUACGUAGGGUGCGAGCGUUGUCCGGAAUUACUGGGCGUAAAGGGCUCGUAGGUGGUUUGUCGCGUCGUCUGUGAAAUUCUGGGGCUUAACUCCGGGCGUGCAGGCGAUACGGGCAUAACUUGAGUGCUGUAGGGGUAACUGGAAUUCCUGGUGUAGCGGUGAAAUGCGCAGAUAUCAGGAGGAACACCGAUGGCGAAGGCAGGUUACUGGGCAGUUACUGACGCUGAGGAGCGAAAGCAUGGGUAGCGAACAGGAUUAGAUACCCCGGUAGUCCCAUGAU